CCUACGGGUGGCAGCAGUGGGGAAUAUUGGACAAUGGGGGAAACCCUUAUCCAGCGACGCCGCGUGAGGGAAGAAGGUUUUCGGAUUGUAAACCUCUGUCAGUGGGGACGAUAAUGACGGUACCCACGGAGGAAGCCACGGCUAACUACGUGCCAGCAGCCGCGGUAAUACGUAGGUGGCAAGCGUUAUCCGGAUUUACUGGGUGUAAAGGGAGCGUAGACGGUGAGACAAGUCUGAAGUGAAAGCCCGGGGCUCAACCCCGGGACUGCUUUGGAAACUGCCUGACUGGAGUGCUGGAGAGGCAAGCGGAAUUCCUAGUGUAGCGGUGAAAUGCGUAGAUAUUAGGAAGAACACCAGUGGCGAAGGCGGCUUGCUGGACAGUAACUGACGUUGAGGCUCGAAAGCGUGGGGAGCAAACAGGAUUAGAUACCCUGGUAGUC
Molecule: ribosomal RNA, 440 nt
Filed under: uncultured bacterium
Lineage: Bacteria
Description: partial 16S ribosomal RNA
Rfam family: Bacterial small subunit ribosomal RNA
Source: RNAcentral